GAAAUGCGAUAAGUAAUGUGAAUUGCAGAAUUCAGUGAAUCAUCGAAUCUUUGAACGCACAUUGCGCCCGCCAGUAUUCUGGCGGGCAUGCCUGUUCGAGCGUCAUUACAACCCUCAGGCCCCCGGGCCUGGCGUUGGGGAUCGGCGGAAGCCCCCUGCGGGCACAACGCCGUCCCCCAAAUACAGUGGCGGUCCCGCCGCAGCUUCCAUUGCGUAGUAGCUAACACCUCGCAACUGGAGAGCGGCGCGGCCACGCCGUAAAACACCCAACUUCUACAUGUUGACCUCGAAUCAGGUAGGAAUACCCGCUGAACUUAAGC
Molecule: unclassified non-coding RNA, 320 nt
Filed under: plant metagenome
Description: partial contains 5.8S ribosomal RNA, internal transcribed spacer 2, and large subunit ribosomal RNA
Rfam family: 5.8S ribosomal RNA (bases 1-105)
Source: RNAcentral